This 468-nucleotide ribosomal RNA is filed under the name uncultured bacterium. RNAcentral's name for it is "partial 16S ribosomal RNA". It matches the Rfam family "Bacterial small subunit ribosomal RNA", at positions 28 to 507 of the family's 1533-position model. The record is from RNAcentral.
GACGAACGCUGGCGGCGUGCUUAACACAUGCAAGCCGAACGGAAAGGCCCUGCUUUUGUGGGGUGCUCGAGUGGCGAACGGGUGAGUAACACGUGAGUAACCUGCCCUUGACUUUGGGAUAACUUCAGGAAACUGGGGCUAAUACCGGAUAGGAGCUCCUGCUGCAUGGUGGGGGUUGGAAAGUUUCGGCGGUUGGGGAUGGACUCGCGGCUUAUCAGCUUGUUGGUGGGGUAGUGGCUUACCAAGGCUUUGACGGGUAGCCGGCCUGAGAGGGUGACCGGCCACAUUGGGACUGAGAUACGGCCCAGACUCCUACGGGAGGCAGCAGUGGGGAAUAUUGCACAAUGGGCGGAAGCCUGAUGCAGCAACGCCGCGCGCGGGAUGACGGCCUUCGGGUUGUAAACCGCUUUCGCCUGUGACGAAGCGUGAGUGACGGUAAUGGGUAAAGAAGCACCGGCUAACUACGUG